This 303-nucleotide ribosomal RNA is filed under the name uncultured bacterium. RNAcentral describes it as "partial 16S ribosomal RNA". It matches the Rfam family "Bacterial small subunit ribosomal RNA", at positions 507 to 808 of the family's 1533-position model. The record is from RNAcentral.
AGCAGUAGCCACGGAAAACGGAGGGUGCAAGCGUUACUCGGAAUUACUGGGCGUAAAGCGUGCGUAGGUGGUGGUUUAAGUCCGUUGUGAAAGCCCUGGGCUCAACCUGGGAAUUGCAGUGGAUACUGGGUCACUAGAGUGUGGUAGAGGAUAGUGGAAUUUCCGGUGUAGCAGUGAAAUGCGUAGAGAUCGGAAGGAACAUCUGUGGCGAAGGCGACUAUCUGGGCCAACACUGACACUGAGGCACGAAAGCGUGGGGAGCAAACAGGAUUAGAUACCCGUGUAGUCCCUGUCUCUUAUACA